UGCAACUCGAAUGGCAGAGUGUCUC
Molecule: non-coding RNA, 25 nt
Filed under: Mus musculus (house mouse)
Lineage: Eukaryota; Metazoa; Chordata; Mammalia; Rodentia; Muridae
Source: RNAcentral